RNAcentral lists this ribosomal RNA (460 nucleotides) under uncultured bacterium. RNAcentral's name for it is "partial 16S ribosomal RNA". It matches the Rfam family "Bacterial small subunit ribosomal RNA", at positions 338 to 795 of the family's 1533-position model. The record is from RNAcentral.
CCUACGGGCGUCAGCAGUGAGGAAUAUUGGUCAAUGGACGAGAGUCUGAACCAGCCAAGUAGCGUGAAGGAUGACUGCCCUAUGGGUUGUAAACUUCUUUUAUAUGGGAAUAAAACGUUCCACGUGUGGGAUUUUGUAUGUACCAUAUGAAUAAGGAUCGGCUAACUCCGUGCCAGCAGCCGCGGUAAUACGGAGGAUCCGAGCGUUAUCCGGAUUUAUUGGGUUUAAAGGGAGCGUAGGUGGAUUGUUAAGUCAGUUGUGAAAGUUUGCGGCUCAACCGUAAAAUUGCAGUUGAAACUGGCAGUCUUGAGUACAGUAGAGGUGGGCGGAAUUCGUGGUGUAGCGGUGAAAUGCUUAGAUAUCACGAAGAACUCCGAUUGCGAAGGCAGUUCACUGGACUGCAACUGACACUGAGGCUCGAAAGUGUGGGUAUCAAACAGGAUUAGAUACCCCUGUAGUC